UACGGAGGGUGCGAGCGUUGUCCGGAAUCACUGGGCGUAAAGGGCGCGUAGGCGGCUCGUUAAGUGGCUGGUGAAAUCCCGGGGCUCAACUCCGGGGCUGCCGGUCAUACUGGCGAGCUGGAGCACGGUAGAGGCGGAUGGAAUUCCCGGUGUAGCGGUGGAAUGCGUAGAUAUCGGGAAGAAUACCGGUGGCGAAGGCGUUCCGCUGGGCCGUUGCUGACGCUGAGGCGCGACAGCGUGGGGAGCAAACAGG
Molecule: ribosomal RNA, 253 nt
Filed under: uncultured bacterium
Lineage: Bacteria
Description: partial 16S ribosomal RNA
Rfam family: Bacterial small subunit ribosomal RNA
Source: RNAcentral